GACGAAAUCCGCCAUGGCUCCUCCCGUCCCGCGCCGCCGGCGACGGAGAAACCCGCCGUCUCUCUCCCUCCCCACGUCUUCGCCGCCGUCCGCAAGUCGUGGGCCGGCAUUGCUUCCCGCCGGCUGGCGGACCCCGCGCAGCACCUGUUCGCGUUCAGGUCCACGGCCACGCACCGCCGCGGCGAGAUCAUCGCCGUGCCGCAGGGCGGGGAAUCAGCCUCCUCCCGCCCCGGCCGCGCGCGCGACUUCGGCCCACAGGGCUCUCCGGUUGCGGCCUCAUGAGCUCCGCGGUGGCCACGCCCCACGACGACCUACGUCCGUGCGGGACCUGGAGGCUGGGCAGCUGGCCAGUUACGGUACCGCGAGGUCGCCCUGGCGCUCGCCAAACGCGACGGCGAGCUCGCCACUGGCCCCUGGGCGGUGGCGCGUGAGGCGGCGGUCCCACUCCAACCGGGGGAGCGGCGCCGGCGCGAGCGGCCUGGCUGACCCGCGCGCCCUGCCCACCUGCUACGCGCCGUCGCCGUAGCCAGGCUGCUGCAGUGCCGCCGUGCCUUCUCGUCACUGCAAGUACGUUCUGCUGGAGCAAGCUCUGCUCUGAUCCAUGGUGUUGGACUGUUCGUUUCAUUAUCGCGUAUGGCCAAUGCAAAUUCACCGCCGGCUGCUUCCUAGCCCAUUCGUAUAAAAAUAAAUUUAAUGAGACUGCAGUUGAUCGGCUAGUGCUGCAGCAUUCAAGAUGCAAUUUUAUUUGUUGGCGAAAAUAGAAGGGGGGGGGGGUGGAAAUUGGAAAUUGAGAGAUUAUGCAGUGUCUCCUCGCAGUUUGGUAUAAAUUCGUACCGCGCAGAUCAUACAGGAUGCGAAAGCUUUGAGAUUUGAGACCAUGGAUUGGCCACAGAACAGAAAUCGCCGCAGCUGGUGAAGAAACAAUUGAGUAUCUGAGGGAUACAGCAGCAGGACGCCAAGGCCCACCAUACACAUCAUAAUCUCAUUCUCCAGAAUCUAGUUGUACAUCAGGUGGAGAAUGCAAAAAAACAAAAAACAAAAAAGAAGAAGCUCGGACUAGAUCAAAAGAAUUAUAAUUCAGAAUAAGCUCUUGGAUUGGUGAUGUAGUUCUAGCUUGAGAUUUAAGAAGAGGGCAACAUAGUGAGUCAUGGAUCCAUGAAGUAUGCAACUCCAUGCUUGUUCUUUCUUUAUAUCUUGUAUCUAGGAAAAAAAUGCUUGCUCGGUGCCGUUGUUAUCGGGUGUGAGCGACCCGUUUGGACUGUAUAGAAUAGGGGAAUCGACUGGGUGCCGUCCAUUUCGACGCCUUAGCUUCGUUGUCAUCGGCGAGCGAGGGCCGAGGGGAGCCGAAUCGAGGAAUCAGAGUCCUUCUCGUCGGAAUCGGCGAUGCUGAUGGGCAAAAUCUGUGACGUCGCCGACGGCAGACCUGGUGGCACCAGGCCGGGGACGCCAGCAAGAAGGCGAAUUCGUUUCACGCCGGCGGCCAGCAAGCUGCCCCUGCAGAUACAGGGCGCGGAUGCCAUGUCCUCUCCGCCAAUUCGUUUCACGCACGAGGACUCCACAAAAGGGUGACGGCCACCAGUGAGGGUCUUUGAUGAAGAUCUGCACGGUGCAUUUAGCAGGUCCUAGGGGAAAACUUGUGUGGUCAUUAUACUAAACUUACAGCUAGAGAAGUUUGUGUGAUAUCCACAUUACUCCUGUGUAAUUUUCUAAACAUAGUAGAUAACGUCUCUGAAUUAUUUGGUCCAGUAAAGUUACAUAGUAACUAUUAUGAGCUUGUUUUCUUUAUGAAGAUCAAGUAGUUAAAUAUAAUUUCCAUUUUGUUUCGUUAAAGCUUGCAAUGCUUUCAUCCCAUCAGAUCUUACAAUGUGAGUUUUAGUGUAAUUUGUGCAUAAGACAACUAUAAGAACCUUUACUAUAUUUCACAGUACUUUACAGAGUUAUUUUUUUUCAUUUCUGUAAUUCUAAAGAUAAUGCAUGUGCCCCUUUGUCACUGUGUAUCCUGUGUAUGGCCCCUUUGCCUUGUGCUACUACUUCCACGAUUCUUUUUGUGUUGGGGUUAAAAGGGUGUUAGUUUAUUCCCGCCAGUUCUUAUUAUAAUGAUUAUAUGCGUCCUUACUAAUUAUAUUGUGUUUCCUUUGUUCCUUUUUCCCUAAGUGGAGCCAAAAGAAUCACUCCACCUCCACUGCAAGGGGUCAGGGUCCUUUUUUGCAAGCAAGUAUAUGAAGCUCAUGUUUGCCGGCUGGAAAUAUCUUUCAACUACUGAUGUCAGUUUCAGAAAAGCUCUCUGAUAGUCAGUACUCGUGUUGUCAAGCACUGGGUCUCGUGAUGGCACUUAAAAGGCUCCAUCUACACGGAUCUCCUUUACAGGAGGUCAAAAUUUUCAGGUGUUGAAUUUUUCAGGUUUGUGUCAAAAUUUUCAGUGUGUUUUUUUGCUUGUUAUCACCCAAAAAAUGUACCUCUAAAUUUCUGUUUUUCAAGAUGUGUUUUUUCCUUAUUAUCAGCCAAAAAGUUGUACAUGUAAAUAUGUGUUUUUUUUCUUGUUAUCAGCCCAAAAAUUGUAUCUGUAAAUGUGUGUCUUUUCAUAUAUAUGUUUUUUCUUCAGAUCCAUGAUAAUAAAAAAUUGUGUGUCUUUUCAUAUAUCAAAAAU
Panicum hallii is the source of this 2647-nucleotide long non-coding RNA. RefSeq lists it as uncharacterized. NCBI's taxonomy places the organism in Eukaryota, Viridiplantae, Streptophyta, Magnoliopsida, Poales, Poaceae. The record is from RefSeq and is a predicted model, not a curated record. The transcript has 5 exons.